ACAUUAAUACGUGUUUUUAGAUACAUCAUUACUUGUAUGGACUACUAUACAAAAUGGGCAGAAGCUGCUGCAUUGUACACCAAGUCUGCUGUAGAAGUUGCACAAUUCCUCACAACUUUGUUUUGCCGACACGGACUGCCCGUGCUUGUUAUGUCAGACCAAGGCAGGGAAUUUGUCAAUUGCCUCAACCACAAAUUAUUUGAAACAACAGGAGUCAACCAUCUAAUUUCAACAGCCUACCAUCCCCAAACCAACGGCCUGAUUGAGAAGUUCAAUCAGACGCUACAAAGAUCCCUUCUGAAGAUGGUUGGAGAGAACUAGGGUGACUGGUUCAAGUACUUGGACUCAGUAUUGUUUGCAUAUAAUACCAGUAAACAAGCAUCAUCAAAAUAUUCGCCAUUUUUCCUCCUUUAUGGACGAGACGCAAGACUUUCUGUUGAUCUGCUAGCAAAGCCGAAGGAAAUCACAGAUGAUGUCAUGACUUUCACUGUUACUGAUGAUGAACUUGAGUUGUCUGUACAACAAAUGGUCCAAUUGUGAAAGAUGGUGGACACCAAUGUGAAGAAAAACAUCUUAGAAGCACAAAAACGACAGAAACAGCAGUAUGACGCCAGACAUAAAAAAGAAGAAUACAAGGUUGGUGACAAUGUUCUACUACAGAACACCAAAAAACUUUCUCAUAAAGAAAGCAAGUAUGAGCAGAGUUGGAAAGAACCAUAUGAGAUUGCCGAGAGAGCUGGCAAAGGCAGAUAUUAUGUGAGAAAGCAGAAUGACAGUGCUAUAUGUAAAACCCUAUACAGUGCCACGAGACUUAAACCGUUCCAUCAACAACAGGAAUUUAGCCAAUUAACCUUCUGUACCAUCAGAGAGUAAAUUUAUAUCAGCGGGUAAAAGAUUUUGCUCUCAAAAUGAGGAGUCAGCAAAGAAACGAAAAAUGAGCAGACUAUUCUCAUCUGCAAGAAUUACUUCUUCAGUAGACAUACAAAAGAUCACGGAAAAUAGAGGUCGACUCGAAAAAAGAAUUCAGCUGUCUGGUCUAGCGUUUAGAGGGCAAAUGCCCACCGAUGGAAACUGUCUAUUUCAUGCAGUAGCAGACCAACUGCAGCGAAUUGAUUCCAACAACAAGCUCAGCCACAGUGAACUGCGUGACCUAGCAGUAACUUGUCUUAAAGAUCACCAAUUUGUUGAUUCAGUUGGUCAACCUCUAGACAUGGCCAAUUUUGUAGCUGGCAGAGAUUGGAAAAGCUACUUAGAUAAUCUUGCUCAAAACAGGACAUGGGGUGAUCACCUUGCAGUGAUGGCACUAGGAACAUCAUUAUCCCAUGACAUUCGAAUAGUUAGCAGUGUAUCUGGUCCUGAUGACCAUUUUGAAAUCAUCAUCGAACCAAAUGGCCACAAAGUUCGUCAUGAGGGACCUCUAAUUCUGGGGCACUAUGCCGAGAAUCACUACGAGAGUCUCGGUAUUUGUGAUGCUUGUGAGAAGAUUGUUGGCACAUCCAG
Molecule: long non-coding RNA, 1500 nt
Organism: Corticium candelabrum
Lineage: Eukaryota; Metazoa; Porifera; Homoscleromorpha; Homosclerophorida; Plakinidae
Exons: 7
Source: RefSeq, a predicted model, not a curated record